This is a non-coding RNA of Phrynosoma platyrhinos (Desert horned lizard), 74 nucleotides long. The record is from the annotation of a GenBank genome assembly. NCBI's taxonomy places the organism in Eukaryota, Metazoa, Chordata, Lepidosauria, Squamata, Phrynosomatidae.
GGCAGUGUGGAGUAGUGGUUUGAGUUUUGGGCUAGGGACUCCAAAAGAUCCAGGUUCAAAUCCCGUCUCAGCCA